RNAcentral lists this ribosomal RNA (253 nucleotides) under uncultured bacterium. RNAcentral describes it as "partial 16S ribosomal RNA". It matches the Rfam family "Bacterial small subunit ribosomal RNA", at positions 524 to 776 of the family's 1533-position model. The record is from RNAcentral.
UACAGAGGUGGCAAGCGUUGUUCGGAUUUACUGGGCGUAAAGGGCGCGUAGGCGGCUUAACAAGUCACUUGUGAAAUCUCCGGGCUUAACUCGGAACGGCCAAGUGAAACUGUCAAGCUAGAGUGCAGAAGGGGCAAUCGGAAUUCUUGGUGUAGCGGUGAAAUGCGUAGAUAUCAAGAGGAACACCUGAGGUGAAGACGGGUUGCUGGGCUGACACUGACGCUGAGGCGCGAAAGCCAGGGGAGCAAACGGG